RNAcentral lists this ribosomal RNA (499 nucleotides) under uncultured bacterium. RNAcentral describes it as "partial 16S ribosomal RNA". It matches the Rfam family "Bacterial small subunit ribosomal RNA", at positions 28 to 507 of the family's 1533-position model. The record is from RNAcentral.
GACGAACGCUGGCGGCGUGCCUAAUACAUGCAAGUCGAGCGAAAAUUUUCUGGUUCUUUCACCGGAAAAACUUAGCGGCGGACGGGUGAGUCACACGUAAAGAACCUUCCUCAUAGACUUGAAUAACUAUUGGUAACGAUAACUAAUACCGGAUAAUAGCAUUAACUGCUUGGUUUUUGUUUAAUACUUGGUUUUGCUAACACUAUGAGAUUGCUUUGCGUUGCAUUGGCUAGUUGGUGGGGUAAAGGCCUACCAAGUCGACGAUGCAUAGACGAACUGAGAGGGUGGUCGGCCACCUUGGGACUGAGACGCGGACAAGACUACUGAGAGAGGCAGCAGUAGGGAAUGUUACGCAAUGGGCGAGAGCAUGACGGAGCAACGCGGAGUGAGUGAAGGAGGAUUUCGGUUCGUAAAGAUCUGUUGUUAGGGAAGAAUGAUUGUGUAGUAACUAUAAACAGUAGAGACGGUACCUAACCAGAAAGCAACGGCUAACUACGUG